RNAcentral lists this transfer RNA (93 nucleotides) under Fusarium pseudograminearum CS3220. RNAcentral's name for it is "tRNA-Arg". It matches the Rfam family "tRNA". From Rfam's summary of the family: Transfer RNA (tRNA) molecules are approximately 80 nucleotides in length. Their secondary structure includes four short double-helical elements and three loops (D, anti-codon, and T loops). RNAcentral also lists the same sequence under 4 other names. The record is from RNAcentral. Lineage: Eukaryota; Fungi; Ascomycota; Sordariomycetes; Hypocreales; Nectriaceae.
CGGCCGCGUGGCCUAAUGGCUAAGGCGCUAGAUUUCGGUUCUCCAGCACCCGUAUCCUCUAGAGAUUCCAGGUUCGAAUCCUGGCGUGGUCGA